GAUGAACGCUGGCGGCGCGCCUAACACAUGCAAGUCGAACGAGCGAGAGAGAGCUUGCUUUCUCGAGCGAGUGGCGAACGGGUGAGUAACGCGUGGGUAACCUGCCUCACACAGGGGGAUAACAGUUGGAAACGGCUGCUAAUACCGCAUAAGCGCACAGUAUCGCAUGGUACGGUGUGAAAAACUCCGGUGGUGUGAGAUGGACCCGCGUCUGAUUAGCUAGUUGGCAGGGCAACGGCCCACCAAGGCGACGAUCAGUAGCCGACCUGAGAGGGUGACCGGCACAUUGGGACUGAGACACGGCCCAGACUCCUACGGGAGGCAGCAGUGGGGAAUAUUGCACAAUGGAGGAAACUCUGAUGCAGCGACGCCGCGUGAGUGAAGAAGUAGUUCGCUAUGUAAAGCUCUAUCAGCAGGGAAGAUAGUGACGGU
This 432-nucleotide ribosomal RNA is filed under the name uncultured bacterium. Its description in RNAcentral is "bacterial SSU rRNA". It matches the Rfam family "Bacterial small subunit ribosomal RNA", at positions 28 to 458 of the family's 1533-position model. The record is from RNAcentral.